RNAcentral lists this unclassified non-coding RNA (1398 nucleotides) under Bombus terrestris (buff-tailed bumblebee). RNAcentral describes it as "misc RNA ENSBTSG00005033830.1". The record is from RNAcentral. Lineage: Eukaryota; Metazoa; Arthropoda; Insecta; Hymenoptera; Apidae.
AUUCUUGUUAAAAGACACACACUCAAAAUUGACGUGUACGAUUCGAAAACCCGAAUUUACAGACGUAAACGCGUUAAACUGAACUGGUUUUCGGUAAAGGUUUCAGCUUCAACUCUCGUCGUUGCUCGUGGUAGUCUUGGAAACAGGGAACGAUGCAAAGGUUGGCUUGACAUUCCGGACAAUGAUACUUCGUUUUCCUUCGAAGAGUCCUCCCGUGAGCGUCUAUCGUGUUCCAGCAGUGCUUGCAACCCAGAGCUGGUCCUGGCCGUAACACUGGACAGUGACCGAAUCGCGCCGGUUCCACAACGAUCGAUGGACUGGUGGUCCUCCUGGGGAACUCUGGGUUCGAGUGUUGCCUGUGUAUCCAGUAAUUCCCACUGCUGGAUUGUUGCUGACUAGACAAGAGCGGAUGAGAGUGUUGCUUCAUCAAAUAGGAUGGCUGAGGCACGGUCAACAGGUUCGUCGAGGUGGUCACCGUUAACAGACUAGGCUGGUUCACCAGAAUCGGUUGCGGUGGCGACGAGAUUCUCGUUUCCUCCCAGCUCUUCGACGUCUGUGGCAGGUUCAACGUCGGCGCCGUCAUAUAGAUAGAAGACGAGACGAUAUGAGGUGAAGAUGUCUCGCUGUCUGGCGACAAAUGAUUCGAUUCCUUCUUCACCCGGGGCUGACGCAACAGACGACACCUCUUCGGGCCUACCUGCUUACAGACUACUGGAACGGAAAGGGAAACGAUGUUAGAAGUUGAGAUUAGAGGUGACAUGGAUGAAAGUGGACAUUUAAAACAAAAUUUCUUGAACUUUUUCUUUAAAGCGUCGAUGAUAUUUUAUACGCGGAGGAGGGGAUAAUUUAUUAAAUGCGGUAAUUGCGGCGAUUUAUUUAGUAAUUAGUAAUUGGCUGAGUACUAUAGUUUGUCCAUCAUAAUUAUAAUGUUAUUAUCUAACUUCUUGCAUAGGAUAGUCUAAUUAAAAUAAAAUAGAUAAGAAAGACUCGAUGUUUUGUGUUUCGAAUAUAUUUUAUGAACAGUUUGAUAAAACGUACCGUAAAAUUUAUUGUGUAAAGUAAAUUUCAUGGAAUUUGAUUUCUAGAUAUAUAAAAUUUUGCUGCAAAUAUAGAAACUAAUAAAGUUGUAUAUAAACGAUAUACAAGAUCAUAAGAGGAAUGAGAGAAUUCAAUGGCCAUGAGUAAUUGAAUUAAUUUUGAACAAACUAUAGCACUGAAACUACUGAACACUCACAAUUAGGUGAUAGUGGUUAAAACGUGCUCUUUGUGUAUGCAAACGACAAAAUUUCAUUAAUAUGCGGGCACAGAUAUUUCCUGCUGAAAGAGUUAGAUGGUGUUUCGCAAAUAAAAAAGUUUAUUUUUUAUACAGAAAAAUCGCUACAUAAAUAAAGAUAUAAA